RNAcentral lists this ribosomal RNA (253 nucleotides) under uncultured bacterium. RNAcentral's name for it is "partial 16S ribosomal RNA". It matches the Rfam family "Bacterial small subunit ribosomal RNA", at positions 524 to 776 of the family's 1533-position model. The record is from RNAcentral.
UACGUAGGGACCAAGCGUUGUUCGGAUUUACUGGGCGUAAAGGGCGCGUAGGCGGUGUGGUAAGUCACUUGUGAAAUCUCCGAGCUUAACUCGGAACGGCCAAGUGGUACUGCUGUGCUAGAGUGCAGAAGGGGCAAUCGGAAUUCUUGGUGUAGCGGUGAAAUGCGUAGAUAUCAAGAGGAACACCUGAGGUGAAGACGGGUUGCUGGGCUGACACUGACGCUGAAGCGCGAAAGCCAGGGGAGCAAACGGG